Molecule: ribosomal RNA, 441 nt
Filed under: uncultured bacterium
Lineage: Bacteria
Description: bacterial SSU rRNA
Rfam family: Bacterial small subunit ribosomal RNA
Source: RNAcentral
AGAGUUUGAUCCUGGCUCAGAGCGAACGCUGGCGGCAGGCUUAACACAUGCAAGUCGAGCGGGCGUAGCAAUACGUCAGCGGCAGACGGGUGAGUAACACGUGGGAACGUACCUUUUGGUUCGGAACAACACAGGGAAACUUGUGCUAAUACCGGAUAAGCCCUUACGGGGAAAGAUUUAUCGCCGAAAAAUCGGCCCGCGUCUGAUUAGCUAGUUGGUGAGGUAACGGCUCACCAAGGCGACGAUCAGUAGCUGGUCUGAGAGGAUGAUCAGCCACACUGGGACUGAGACACGGCCCAGACUCCUACGGGAGGCAGCAGUGGGGAAUAUUGGACAAUGGGCGCAAGCCUGAUCCAGCCAUGCCGCGUGAGUGAUGAAGGCCCUAGGGUUGUAAAGCUCUUUUGUGCGGGAAGAUAAUGACGGUACCGCAAGAAUAAGCCC